Molecule: ribosomal RNA, 733 nt
Filed under: Tephritis kovalevi
Lineage: Eukaryota; Metazoa; Arthropoda; Insecta; Diptera; Tephritidae
Description: partial large subunit ribosomal RNA
Rfam family: Eukaryotic large subunit ribosomal RNA
Source: RNAcentral
GUCAGAAUUGAGUAUAGGGGCGAAAGACCAAUCGAACCAUCUAGUAGCUGGUUCCCUCCGAAGUUUCCCUCAGGAUAGCUGGUGCAUUAUAAUAUUAUGUUAAAUAAUCUUAUCUGGUAAAGCGAAUGAUUAGAGGCCUUAGGGUCGAAACGACCUUAACCUAUUCUCAAACUUUAAAUGGGUAAGAACCUCACCUUUCUUGAUAUGAAGGUUGAGGUUAUGAUAUAAUGUGCCCAGUGGGCCACUUUUGGUAAGCAGAAUUGGCGAUGUGGGAUGAACCAAACGUAAUGUUACGGUGCCUAAAUUAACAACUCAUGCAGAUACCAUGAAAGGCGUUGGUUGCUUAAAACAGCAGGACGGUGGACAUGGAAGUCGUAAUCCGCUAAGGAGUGUGUAACAACUCACCUGCCGAAGCAACUAGCCCUUAAAAUGGAUGGCGCUUAAGUUGUAUACCUAUACAUUACCGCUAAAGUAGAUGAUUUAUAAUACAAUUUCGAUUGAAUUAUUAAUUUUGAAACUUUAGUGAGUAGGAGGGUACAAUGGUGUGCUUAGAAGUGUUUGGCGUAAGCCUGCAUGGAGCCGCUAUUGGUACAGAUCUUGGUGGUAGUAGCAAAUAAUCGAAUGAGACCUUGGAGGACUGAAGUGGAGAAGGGUUUCGUGUGAACAGUGGUUGAUCACGAGUUAGUCGGUCCUAAGUUCAAGGCGAAAGCCGAAAAUUUUCAAGUUUUAAUGC